Molecule: RNA transcript, 2428 nt
Organism: Dama dama (fallow deer)
Lineage: Eukaryota; Metazoa; Chordata; Mammalia; Artiodactyla; Cervidae
Gene name: non-histone chromosomal protein HMG-17-like
Exons: 3
Source: RefSeq, a predicted model, not a curated record
CCAAGCCUAAAAAGGCACUUGCAAAGAAGAAAGAGAAGGCACCCAAAGGGAAAAAGAGUGAUGCUAGCAAGGAUGGGAAUAACCCUACAAAAAAUCGAGCUGCCAAAACAGACAAGACGCAGAAAGCUGAAGGUGAAAAUUGAGGAAGAUUCAUGAAGAAAUCUAAAAGUUCAAUGGAAUGUUGGGGACUAUGAGAGUUGAUGAUCCCUCCAUAUAAAGUUUUCUCCUCAGUGUCCAGGUCAUGCUGUGAUACAAGGAAUUCGAAGUGGAAAAAGUGAAAGUGUUAAUCGCUCAGUCGUGUCCGACUCUUUGCAACCCCAUGGGCUGUAGCCUACCAUGCUCCACUGUCCAUGGGAUUCUCCAGGCAAGAAUACUGGAAUGGGUUGCCAUUUCCUUCUUCAGGGGAUCUGCCCAACCCAGGAAUUGAACCUGGGUCUCCUGCAUUGCAGGCAGAUUCUUUACCAACUGAGCUAUGAGGGAAGCCUAGAACAUUACCUAUGCUAACUGUGCUUCUUCACUCUUCCUUUUGAUUCUUUGUUUUGAUUUCUGGUCAAGUCUGCCUGUGAAUUGUCUAGUUUGUCUUUUGAGCUGUGCCCCUUUCCAUAGCUGGUCCAUGAAGGGAGGGCACCAGACCUCUAGGCCAGGCUGACUUGCAUUCCCGACAAUCUGUUAAUACUAGAAGUUAAUCAGGAAAUUCCCUGGCUAUCCAGUGGCUAGGACUCUGUACUGUCACUACCAAGGGCCCAGGUUCAAUCCCUGGUGGGAGAACCAAGAUCCUACAAGCCGUGAAGCAGAAAAAUAAAAAUAAAAAUAAAAAACCCAACAAGAACAAAAACAGAAUUUAAUUGUGCCAGUGUGAUGAGUUUCUCUCAGAGGUAGCAGCAAAGUCAGGAAUCUAGUUUUAUGAUUGACAUUUGGUAAUCUCUGCCAAGGGAUGAUGAGGUCUCUCUGUUGGGUGAGAGAUGAUAGAGAUUGUUUGGGAGACCCAGGUUUGACCCCAAAGUCAGGAAGAUUCCUUGGAGAAGGGAAUGGCACUCACUCCAGUAUUCUUGCCUGAAGAAUUCCAUGGACAUAGGAGCCUGGUGGGCUACAGUUCUUGGGGUCACAAAGAGUCCAACAUGACUGAGUGACUAACACGUCUUCAGCUAUCUAUUACCAAAUAACAAAAAUCACCUAGAAUAGACUGUUGAGAAACUGAACCAAAUCUAUUACGUCAUUUAUGAGGCAUGUUACUUCCUACAAGGUCAUGUUGGAGUCUGACUUUUUUUUAUUUCAAUGGAUACAUUUGUAUUAAUUUACCUCUCUCUUCCUCUUCAAAAUAAUAUGAACAAGACUCUAAUGUAUUAGAGAUGUUGAGCUGUAAUACAGGGCUAAGGAGUCUCUACACUUGAAAGUAUUUACAUGGAAACAAAAUGGGAUUACAGUUUUAAUGUUUCUCAUUACAUGAUUGGUUUAAGAAAAUUUGUAUUAAUUUUUGAAAUAAUGACCAUGUCAGUGACUAAUAAUAAUGAUCACUAUUUUGUUACUGGUUUUAUGUUGUGUUUAAUAGUUAGUGAGACAUCUAAGUAUUAUCAACCUUUAUUCCUGGUAAUUUAUUACUGAUUUGUCAUGAUACUCAGUACCCCUUUGCAGAGAUAGUUGUCAAAAAUCAAGUUGCUUGAUGAGUGAAAGAAAAGAUCUAAAAGGAAUUGAAAACAAUAGAACACAUUUGUAUCUGUUUGGCUUUUAAAUGGGCGCUAAAGUUGGACUGUGAAGAAAGCUGAGUGCUGAAAAAUUGAUGCUUUUGAACUGUGGUGUUGGAGAAGACUCUUGAGAGUCCCUUGGACUGCAAGGAGAUCCAACCAGUCCAUCCUAAAGGAGAUCAGUCCUGGGUGUUCGUUGGAAGGACUGAUGUUGAAGCUGAAACUCCAGUACUUUGGCCACCUCAUGCGAAGAGUUGACUCAUUGGAAAAGACCCUGAUGCUGGCAGGGAUUGGGGGCAGGAGGAGAAGGGGACGACAGAGGUUGAGAUGGUUGGAUGGCAUCACCGACUCGAUGAACAUGAGUUUGAGUAAACUUCGGGAGCUGGUGAUGGACAGGGAGGCCUGGCGUGCUGCGAUUCAUGCAUGGGUCGCAAAGAGUCGCACACGACUGAGCGCCUGAACUGAACUGAACUGAAUAUUACAAAAUGGAAAUGAGAUGAGAGACAAUAAAUUCUUCUGAGAUAGACACAUACCCUCUCUUAUGUAUGUGUCUUUGUGUGUGUGUCAUGUUUGAUAUGCCUAUUUUUUUUUAAUUGGAGUAAAAUUGCUUUACAGUUUUCUGUUCGUUUCUGCCAUACACCAAAGCAACUCAGCCAUAAUUAUAAAUAUAUUACCUCCUUCUUGACUUGUAUAAGUUUUUGAUGUAUAUGAGAAUAGAAUGUAUUUAAUGAACUUCUUCCUUAAGC